Molecule: unclassified non-coding RNA, 251 nt
Filed under: Hevea brasiliensis (rubber tree)
Lineage: Eukaryota; Viridiplantae; Streptophyta; Magnoliopsida; Malpighiales; Euphorbiaceae
Source: RNAcentral
AUAAAUUAGAAAGAAAUACUAGUUCGGGGAUCAGAAUUCCGACUUGAGGAGCUUUGGUCGAGGCUUAAUUUUGAUGCUCUCAAAAGGGACCUCUUGUUCAACAUGUAUGUAAUCCCUAGUCUUUAGGACCAAAGUCUCAAAGAACAUUCUGGAUGCCUCUUUGCGUGUUUUACCAGCCAAGAGAUGGUCCACAGGUACAAUUUUCUUUCCACGCCCAUGUUCUGCAUCGAACAAAGUCUUCAAGAAUCUUG